Molecule: transfer RNA, 69 nt
Filed under: Rhabdopleura sp. NHMO H2136
Lineage: Eukaryota; Metazoa; Hemichordata; Pterobranchia; Rhabdopleurida; Rhabdopleuridae
Description: tRNA-Thr
Source: RNAcentral
GCCUAAAAAGCUGAUACUAUAAGCAUUAGUUUUGUAAGUUAAAGGGAGAAGUUUUUAUUUUUUUGGGCU